This is a long non-coding RNA of Neofelis nebulosa (Clouded leopard), 424 nucleotides long. RefSeq lists it as uncharacterized. The transcript is spliced from 3 exons. The record is from RefSeq and is a predicted model, not a curated record. Lineage: Eukaryota; Metazoa; Chordata; Mammalia; Carnivora; Felidae.
UCUCCACUGGCGGAGGCUGAACCAUCCGGGGUGUGGGACACAAAGGGAUCCAGACCCUAGUCGCUCCUUUCAUGCUUUGAAGCGCUUUGCCCAGGCUGUCUCGGAGCUUUAUUUGGCCAGAAGGGUGACUCAGAGACUCUUGUACAACUUGGGAGAAACUGAAAUCUAUUCAUGAUUCUUGCCUGAAUCUUUCAAGUCUAAUAGUUGGAAGAAGCAUAAGACUCUGCCAGCUUAUGGUGAAUGAUGUUAGGUUGGAGCCAUAUCUUGAUGGUGUCAAAAAGAAAACUACAGGCCCAAGAUGGAAUCAUUUAUGCUAGCCCAAGUCACAGAACUGGGCUUAAUAACUAACCUAGUGACAACUUCAAACUCCCCUAGAAAUGUCAUUUCAACUUGUCAGUCAGGAAUUUUCUUGUCAUCACUAGUA